GUCGAACGAGAUUAGAGAGCUUGCUCUCUAUGAAAGUGGCGCACGGGUGCGUAACGCGUAUGCAACCUACCUUAAUCAGGGGGAUAGCCCGAAGAAAUUCGGAUUAAGACCGCAUAAAAACACAGCACAGCAUUGUGCAAUGUUCAAAUAUUUAUAGGAUUAAGAUGGGCAUGCGUGUCAUUAGCUAGUUGGCGGGGUAACGGCCCACCAAGGCGACGAUGACUAGGGGAUCUGAGAGGAUGACCCCCCACACUGGUACUGAGACACGGACCAGACUCCUACGGGAGGCAGCAGUAAGGAAUAUUGGUCAAUGGAGGGAACUCUGAACCAGCCAUGCCGCGUGCAGGAAGACAGCCCUCUGGGUCGUAAACUGCUUUUAUUCGGGAAUAAACCUUAUUACGUGUAAUAAGCUGAAUGUACCGAAGGAAUAAGGAUCGGCUAACUCCGUGCCAGCAGCCGCGGUAAUAC
This 468-nucleotide ribosomal RNA is filed under the name uncultured bacterium. RNAcentral describes it as "bacterial SSU rRNA". It matches the Rfam family "Bacterial small subunit ribosomal RNA", at positions 61 to 526 of the family's 1533-position model. The record is from RNAcentral.